This 660-nucleotide ribosomal RNA is filed under the name uncultured archaeon. RNAcentral's name for it is "bacterial SSU rRNA". It matches the Rfam family "Archaeal small subunit ribosomal RNA", at positions 82 to 725 of the family's 1478-position model. The record is from RNAcentral.
CGUACGGCUCCGUAACACGUGGUUAACCCGCCCUUGGGACGGAAACACUCCCGGGAAACUGGGAUUAUUCCCGAUAGGUGACGACGCCUGAACUGGUCCUGCACUCAAGGGGGUUGGGAUCAUGCUUUUGGAUCUCGCCCGAGGACAGAGCGCCGACCAUUCGGUUGUUUGGUGAGGUAAAGGCCUCACCAAGCCUAUAACCGGUACGGGCCCUGAGAGGGGAACCCCGGAAAUGGGAACUGAGACAAGGGCCCCAGGCCCUACGGGGCGCAGCAGGCGCGCAAACUCCGCAAUGCACGAAUGUGUGACGGGGUUACCCCGAGUGCCGUCCGAUGAGGAUGGCUUUUCUUCACUGUAAGGAGGCGGAGGAAUAAAGGGAGGGCAAGUCUGGUGUCAGCCGCCGCGGUAAUACCAGCUCUCCGAGUGGUAGGGAUGAUUAUUGGGCCUAAAGCGUCCGUAGCCGGCCUCUGAAGUCUUUCGUCAAAUCCGACGAUUCAAUCGUUGGACCGCGGAAGAUACUGCUAGGCUAGGGGACGGGAGAAGCCGACGGUAUUCUCUGGGUAGGGGUGAAAUCCUAUAAUCCAGGGAAGACCACCAGUGGCGUAGGCGGUCGACUAGAACGCGCUCGACGGUGAUGGACGAAAGCUGGGGGAGCGAACC